CCUGAGGCCAGUUUGUUGGGGAGCUGCUGUUCCCCUCUCUGUGCCCUGGUGUGGAGCUGGUGGCGGGAGAAUGGGAAUUCUUAUCUUGGGAAGAAAGACAGUGUGUGGGGCAACAGUGGGUGCCGGGUGCUUUGAAGAUCUGGUUCAUAGCAAAUAUUCGUUCGUUUAAUCCACCACACCGAGGCACACUUUCCAGAAAUGAAAUGCACACGUUUGAGGGGCGGUUGAUGUGUUUUGGUGGGUGCCCUCACCACUCUCACCCCACAAUCGGGAUACAACUAUUUUCUUCACACCAAAAGUUUUCUCAGGCCCCUGGGUGCUAAGCCUGUGCGCUGUCAGCCCCCCGCAGCCCUGGGUCUAUUCCGCCAGGCAGGUGGGCCUUGUCUUGUGUAGGACUUUGUGGACGUGGCCCACACAUGGGAUCUGGGCUGUGGCUCCUCCACUCGGCUCUCGGGAGCCACCGUGGUGCUCGGUGUGUGUCGUGGGUGGAUCUGUUCCUUCGAAGCGCCGUGCCCUCUGCACAGACGUGCCACCACGAGGGUGCGUUCUCCUGCUGAGGGACAUGCGAGCUACAUUGCAUCUUCACCACGACCUGUAAGCUGCUACCCAUAUUUUUGCAUAAGUGCAGGUAGGAACACAUUCUUAUUUUUCUUGGAGAAGCAACGGGAAGUGGGAUGGGUGGGUUGUAGGUGACACACGCCGUCUAACUGCCCAGGAAGCUGCCAAGUUGUUCUCCAAGCAACUGCUCCACUUGACAUUCCCGCCAGCAGAGCACGCGUGUUCCGUGAGAGCUGAGCUCAUUGAUGGGAGGCACCUUCCUUUGCUAAACAGGCAUUUUCCACCACGUACAUCCUGCCCUUCUCGCCCUCCUCUCCCAAGACCCUGAGUGUGAGACGGGUCCCGCCAGCCCCGAGACCCUGAGUGUGAGACGGGUCCCGCCAGCCCCGAGACCCUGAGUGUGAGACGGGUCCCGCCAGCCCCAAGACCCUGAGUGUGUGACGGGUCCCGCCAGCCCCGAGACCCUGAGUGUGUGACGGCUCCCGCCAGUCCCGAGACCCCACGUGCAUGUGGCCACAUGUGUGACAGGUCCCGCCAGUCCCUCGGGCUCCAUCCCUCGUUCGAAGAGGACAUGGGGUGCUUUGCCUCAGUGGAUGGAGGAGACCCACACCCGUGUGUUUCCCGGGCAGAUGGAGCGCUCAGCACUGGGCACUGUGCCCAGUGGUUUCACUGUCGGAUAAACAUGUUUCCAAAAGCAUCUUUACCCCGUUACAUCCAAUUCCCCAUGAUUUGU
This 1291-nucleotide long non-coding RNA is filed under the name Homo sapiens (human). Its description in RNAcentral is "HSALNT0170540". Lineage: Eukaryota; Metazoa; Chordata; Mammalia; Primates; Hominidae. The record is from RNAcentral.